CCUACGGGUGGCAGCAGUGAGGAAUAUUGGUCAAUGGGCGUAAGCCUGAACCAGCCAAGUCGCGUGAGGGAUGAAGGUUCUAUGGAUCGUAAACCUCUUUUAUAAGGGAAUAAAGUGCGGGACGUGUCCCGUUUUGUAUGUACCUUAUGAAUCAGGAUCGGCUAACUCUGUGCCAGCAGCCGCGGUAAUGCCGCGGAUCCGAUCGUUAUCCGGAUUUGUUGGGUUGAAAGGGUGCGUAGGCGGCCUUUUAAGUCAGCGGUUGAAGUCUGUGGCUCAACCAUAGAAUUGCCGUUGAAACUGGUAGGCUUGAGUAUGUUAGAGGCAGGCGGAAUGCGAGGUGUAGCGGUGAAAUGCUUAGAUAUAACGCAGAACCCCGAUUGCGAAGGCAGCCUGCCAAGCCAUGACUGACGCUGAUGCACGAAAGCGUGGGGAUCAAACAGGAUUAGAUACCCCAGUAGUC
Molecule: ribosomal RNA, 460 nt
Filed under: uncultured bacterium
Lineage: Bacteria
Description: partial 16S ribosomal RNA
Rfam family: Bacterial small subunit ribosomal RNA
Source: RNAcentral